CGCAGCCUGAUGCGCCAUGCCGCGUGUGUGAAGAAGGCCUUCGGGUUGUAAAGCACUUUCAGUCGUGAGGAAGGUGGUGGAGUUAAUAGCACUAUCAUUUGACGUUAGCGACAGAAGAAGCACCGGCUAACUCCGUGCCAGCAGCCGCGGUAAUACGGAGGGUGCGAGCGUUAAUCGGAAUUACUGGGCGUAAAGCGCAUGCAGGUGGUUUGUUAAGUCAGAUGUGAAAGCCCGGGGCUCAACCUCGGAAUAGCAUUUGAAACUGGCAGACUAGAGUACUGUAGAGGGGGGUAGAAUUUCAGGUGUAGCGGUGAAAUGCGUAGAGAUCUGAAGGAAUACCGGUGGCGAAGGCGGCCCCCUGGACAGAUACUGACACUCAGAUGCGAAAGCGUGGGGAGCAAACAGGAUUAGAUACCCUGGUAGUCCACGCCGUAAACGAUGUCUACUUGGAGGUUGUGGCCUUGAGCCGUGGCUUUCGGAGCUAACGCGUUAAGUAGACCGCCUGGGGAGUACGGUCGCAAGAUUAAAACUCAAAUGAAUUGACGGGGGCCCGCACAAGCGGUGGAGCAUGUGGUUUAAUUCGAUGCAACGCGAAGAACCUUACCUACUCUUGACAUCCAGAGAACUUUUCAGAGAUGAAUUGGUGCCUUCGGGAACUCUGAGACAGGUGCUGCAUGGCUGUCGUCAGCUCGUGUUGUGAAAUGUUGGGUUAAGUCCCGCAACGAGCGCAACCCUUAUCCUUGUUUGCCAGCGAGUAAUGUCGGGAACUCCAGGGAGACUGCCGGUGAUAAACCGGAGGAAGGUGGGGACGACGUCAAGUCAUCAUGGCCCUUACGAGUAGGGCUACACACGUGCUACAAUGGCGCAUACAGAGGGCAGCAAGCUAGCGAUAGUGAGCGAAUCCCAAAAAGUGCGUCGUAGUCCGGAUUGGAGUCUGCAACUCGACUCCAUGAAGUCGGAAUCGCUAGUAAUCGUGGAUCAGAAUGCCACGGUGAAUACGUUCCCGGGCCUUGUACACACCGCCCGUCACACCAUGGGGAGUGGGCUGCAAAAGAAGUAGGUAGUUUAACCUUCCGGGAGGACGCUUACCACUUUGUGGUUCAUGACUGGGGUGAAUCGAAACCAAGGUACCA
RNAcentral lists this ribosomal RNA (1133 nucleotides) under Vibrio sp. 845. RNAcentral's name for it is "bacterial SSU rRNA". It matches the Rfam family "Bacterial small subunit ribosomal RNA", at positions 376 to 1501 of the family's 1533-position model. Lineage: Bacteria; Pseudomonadati; Pseudomonadota; Gammaproteobacteria; Vibrionales; Vibrionaceae. The record is from RNAcentral.